This 554-nucleotide ribosomal RNA is filed under the name uncultured bacterium. Its description in RNAcentral is "bacterial SSU rRNA". It matches the Rfam family "Bacterial small subunit ribosomal RNA", at positions 361 to 909 of the family's 1533-position model. The record is from RNAcentral.
AUCUUCGGCAAUGGGCGCAAGCCUGACCGAGCGACGCCGCGUGCGGGAUGAAGGCCUUCGGGUUGUAAACCGCUGUCGUAGAGGAGGAAAUGCAGGGGGGUUCUCCCCUCUGUUUGACCUAUUCUAGGAGGAAGGACGGGCUAAGUUCGUGCCAGCAGCCGCGGUAAGACGGACCGUCCAAACGUUACUCGGAAUUACUGGGCUUAAAGGGUGCGUAGGCUGCGCGGAAAGUCGGGUGUGAAAGCCCUCAGCUCAACUGGGGAAUUGCAUUCGAAACUACCGUGCUCGAGGGAGACAGAGGUGAGCGGAACUCAAGGUGGAGCGGUGAAAUGCGUUGAUAUCUUGAGGAACACCGGUGGCGAAAGCGGCUCACUGGGUCUUUUCUGACGCUGAGGCACGAAAGCUAAGGUAGCAAACGGGAUUAGAUACCCCGGUAGUCUUAGCUGUAAACGAUGAGCACUUGUUUGAAGGGUCCUCCAUAGCCUUUCAGACGUAGCGAAAGUGUUAAGUGCUCCGCCUGGGGAGUAUGGUCGCAAGGCUGAAACUCAAAGAAA